GCCUGGUUUGGAAGACGAAGGCGAAGAGGCGGCCGACAGGUGGAACCUCCGCAAGGACGGAAACAGGGAGCAGCUAGAGCCCAUCCACCAGAGGCUCUUGGAGGACCGCGAGC
RNAcentral lists this non-coding RNA (113 nucleotides) under Prorocentrum minimum. The record is from RNAcentral. Lineage: Eukaryota; Dinophyceae; Prorocentrales; Prorocentraceae.